UAUUCAUGUAGAGCAGUGGUACCCAACAAUUGCCCAACUCGGGGAACUAAACCACCUCAGAAAGCUGAAGAGAAGAGCUACCGACAUCGCGAUGAGAGUCCCUCGACCUCGUAUCACAGGAAGACCUCCAGCAGCAAAACCUCCCGGGAGAAAUUGAGAGGAAAAGUGUCCGUUACGAAGAAGCGGCAGGUACCCAAAAUUAUUCUCACGCCGCCCUCAACCGAAGAUUUGGUGUUCAGUGAUGACCAAAUGCAGUAAUAUUGGCCUUGUCAUCGAAAUCAUGGGAUGUACAGAGGAACGGAACUACUCCUGAGUAACUGAUCAGAAACUGCUUCAGCGUAGCCCAGCCUGCCUCUUCUUUGAACAACGUCAAGUCAUCAUCACUUCUAUUUUUUAGAAGUCGAUAUAGAUUAUCUUUUAUAACUGGCGUUCUUGCACGGCGCUUACCUAAGCCCUGUUGGAGACUGGGGGGAAAAAAUUGUAAAUAAAGCUAAUUAAACAUCUGUAUAAAUUG
Non-coding RNA from Notechis scutatus (mainland tiger snake), 514 nucleotides. The record is from RefSeq and is a predicted model, not a curated record. Lineage: Eukaryota; Metazoa; Chordata; Lepidosauria; Squamata; Elapidae.